CCCCGAAGGUAGACAAUUAACCGAUUAAGCCACCCAGGUGUCCCUACGAUUUUAUUUAUAAGUAAUCUCUACACUCAGGGUGGGCUCGAACUUACAACCCGGAGAUCCAGAGAGGCAUGCUCUACUGAUGGAGCCAGCCAGGUGCCCCAGAGACACUCUAUUCCAAGUUAGAAGAGAGAAACCUGAGGCCCAAUGGGGUACGCUAGCAGAGGUGGCCAGAGGGGGGCUGGAGAAACUGGGCAGCAUCCGGGAAGCAGAGGCAGGAAAUGUUUCGGGGUCCAGGGAAUGGUGGGCACUCGCUGAGAUGCCAGAGGCAGCAAGAAGUCAAGCGGGAUCAUUCUGCCUCGGUGAGGCUGGUCCAGGGGCAGGGCUGGUGCUGGGCCAGCGCGCGGGUGCUGUGGACGCAGGGGAGGUGAGCAAGUACAGACAGGGAGUGUUUGGCUGAGAAGUGGAAGGAACGUGCAGGGUCGUUUCAGGGAGGCGUGCGAGGGAGCGCCUAGUUCAGACCGGUGGGACUGCUGGGUCAUGAAGUCAAUGCAGGGUAAGGGAAGUCAGGGGAGCUGAUGGUGUGCUAGGCUCUAAGCUGAGCUUGGCUUUAGGGGAAAGGUCUAUGCCUGGAAGGAGCUCACAGACUCCACAUAAUGACAGAAUUCAAGGGGAAAUUAAAGUCUGAGCAUCAGAUCUAACUCUUGUUUCAACUAACAGAAACCGACUUGUUACUUUGACCCUAGACGCAAUGACUUUAGAGCCCGAGAAAGUCAGAAGGCAAUUGUGGACCCAAUUAGAUGUGGUGACCCCACCAAACGACUAUGAAAUUGUUUCAGAAUCAAAUCAGGUAUAAGUGGAUUAGCUGAGCUGGCAGAUGGACAUCAGAGUUGAGAAUUAUGUGGAGACCGCUCCUCCCAAUUCAUCCCUCAGGUGCUGCAAAAGCUAGGGCUUGGAUGAGGAAAUAUGCCCCAGUCUGGGGGCCAUUUGAACACCCCGAAGGAACCCAGACAGGAGAAGCAAGAGGUAUGGCAGAAAGCAGAGGGGAAGAACCAAGAAGAAAAUUGGGUCUACUCUUCAGCCCCUAGAGCAAACCUGACCUGAAAGUCUGCUUCUGGACUCUGGUUCUGUAAAUCAGUAAGAUCCACUUAUCGUUGAAGCCAGUUUUAGGUCUGCUUUUCUUUUUAAGAUUUUAUUUAUUUAUAUUAGAGACAGAGAGAGAAAGUGUGUGCACGGGAGCAGGGGGAGGGGUAGAAUGGGAGGGAGAGGGAGAGAGAGACU
This is a long non-coding RNA of Ailuropoda melanoleuca (giant panda), 1266 nucleotides long. RefSeq lists it as uncharacterized. The record is from RefSeq and is a predicted model, not a curated record. NCBI's taxonomy places the organism in Eukaryota, Metazoa, Chordata, Mammalia, Carnivora, Ursidae. The transcript is spliced from 3 exons.